AUUGAACGCUGGCGGCAGGCCUAACACAUGCAAGUCGAACGGUAGCACAGAGAGCUUGCUCUCGGGUGACGAGUGGCGGACGGGUGAGUAACGUCUGGGAAACUGCCCGAUGGAGGGGGAUAACUACUGGAAACGGUAGCUAAUACCGCAUAACGUCGCAAGACCAAAGUGGGGGACCUUCGGGCCUCACACCAUCGGAUGUGCCCAGAUGGGAUUAGCUAGUAGGUGGGGUAAUGGCUCACCUAGGCGACGAUCCCUAGCUGGUCUGAGAGGAUGACCAGCCACCCUGGAACUGAGACACGGUCCAGACUCCUACGGGAGGCAGCAGUGGGGAAUAUUGCACAAUGGGCGCAAGCCUGAUGCAGCCAUGCCGCGUGUUUGAAGAAGGCCUUCGGGUUGUAAAGUACUUUCAGCGGGGAGGAAGGCGGUGAAGUUAAUAACUUCACCGAUUGACGUUACCCGCAGAAGAAGCACCGGCUAACUCCGUGCCAGCCGCCGCAGUAA
This 504-nucleotide ribosomal RNA is filed under the name uncultured bacterium. Its description in RNAcentral is "partial 16S ribosomal RNA". It matches the Rfam family "Bacterial small subunit ribosomal RNA", at positions 30 to 523 of the family's 1533-position model. The record is from RNAcentral.